CUAAAGUUUUAUUCUUGCUUAAUAAUUUAUUUAAAUAUUGUUUUACAUGUGAAUUUUAGUGUGAUUGGAGGGUUUAAUCUUAAAGAUUAAUAUUUAAUAUAAUUUAAUCGCAGUAUUUAAUUUUAUUAAUCAAGGUGAUUUGGAAUUAGUAAUUUUUGAUAGUACCGGCAAAAAUCGUGCCAGCCGCCGCGGUUAUACGAAGGGUGCAAAUAAAUAUUUUUGGUUUGUGGUUAAAUUAUAGUGGUAGGGGAUUAAAAAUUGGAUUUUUUGAGUGGAAUCUUUAAAUUUAUAUUAAUUUCUUUAUGAUGUUGUUGAAGCUGUGAAAUUCAAACUUUAAACUAGGAUUAGAUACCCUAUUAUUUUGGAUGUUAAAUAUUUUGAGACUUGAGUAGUAAUAGUUAUGUUCUUGAAACUCAAAGAAUUUGGCGGUGUUCUAGACCUUUCAGAGGAACUUGUCCCAUGAUCGAUAAUCCUCGUUGGACUUUACUUAGGUUUGUAAUCAGUUUGUAUACCGUCGUCGUCAGAAUGUCUUUGGAGGGAUGUAAAUUUUCUUUAUUUCUUAUUAGAAUAGAUGUCAGAUCAAGGUGCAGUUUAUACUUAAGAGGAGAUGAGUUACAAUAAAUUUAUUUAUAUGGAUUGUUUGCUUUGAAAAUGAGAGCAUGAAAGUGGAUUUGAUUGUAAGUGAAUUAAAUUUAAUUAAAUUGAUUUUGGCUCUGGAGCAUGUACACAUCGCCCGUCGCUCUCGUUAUUAAGGCGAGAUAAGUCGUAACAUAGUAGAUGUACCGGAAGGUGUAUCUAGAACGUUUAAA
This 809-nucleotide non-coding RNA is filed under the name Cryptoperla kawasawai. RNAcentral describes it as "12S ribosomal RNA". The stretch from base 387 to 798 matches the Rfam family "Microsporidia small subunit ribosomal RNA", at positions 752 to 1303 of the family's 1311-position model. The record is from RNAcentral. Lineage: Eukaryota; Metazoa; Arthropoda; Insecta; Plecoptera; Peltoperlidae.